Molecule: long non-coding RNA, 479 nt
Organism: Bubalus bubalis (water buffalo)
Lineage: Eukaryota; Metazoa; Chordata; Mammalia; Artiodactyla; Bovidae
Exons: 4
Source: RefSeq, a predicted model, not a curated record
AACAGAGUCUCCGUGGAAACACAGACAGGCAGCAGGUGAUAGCAGUUCCCACCCAGAGGACAGCAAGCACAGUGAAUGUCUGAUGCCGUGGGAUGGUGCUUCAACCUUGAAGAUGCCCUGAGAGUUCUGCAGCCCCAGGAGCAGACUGUGAAUCCUUACAGCCCCUCCCCCAUCACCACUCACCCUCCUGCUCCCAGGGCCAAGGUGUGAUCUGAGAAGGCAGGGGAUGGUGACAGAUUUCUCUGUACCCUCAGACAACGACAUAAACUUCCUCCGUUUUCUCAUCUGUAAGGCAAAGACCAUGUCUACCAUGUGGGACUGAUGAAGACAUAAGUGACCAGGUUCACCAUAAAGUACUGAGCUCAGUGGCGGCGGCACAGAAAACAGAACAGAACAGAAUUGAACACAGUGGUUUUGGCAAACAAGUCAGCAUGCAAACGGGAAUAAGAGCCCUGGGACUUUCCUAAGACAAACAAAGG